Bactrocera neohumeralis is the source of this 1381-nucleotide RNA transcript. It is a transcript of the gene named putative nuclease HARBI1, with no coding region annotated. NCBI's taxonomy places the organism in Eukaryota, Metazoa, Arthropoda, Insecta, Diptera, Tephritidae. The transcript is spliced from 3 exons. The record is from RefSeq and is a predicted model, not a curated record.
AUAUCAUCUCAAGUCUCAAAAAUUGUCUCUAACUCAAAAUCUCAAAUUUAGAGACUUGAGACUGUCUCAAGUUACAGAAUCGCACGGUAAGUUCAGUCGAAGUAUGAUAGGCGUUGCCAACCUAAGAAAGGGAAAUUUCACAAAAAGUGAAACAGCUAAAAUUUUGUAAACGACAUAUUUAGACAAUUGAAUUCAGUUGCCGCUCGCGAAAAAGUGAAUAAACAUAAGUAUAUAAUAAACAAUAAAUAAAAAAUGGAUAUAAGUUUUGAUUUAUAUUACAAUGACGAAAAUACUGGAGAAAAAAUUGAUGUGCUACGUAUACGAAAAAGCCUUCGUGAUCACUCAAAUCCAUUGGAGCUUCCAAAUGCAAAGUAAGCCAUAGUUUUUUCACAAUUGAUUCAUAAGUUAUUUUCGAUUAAAUAAAGAAGCAUUUUGUUUUUUACUGAAUGAGAUGAAGGAACAUUUCCACAAACGUGUGCGAGGAACGGCCAUACAUCCUAUAUUAAAAUUAUGCGCAACUCUGCGUUUCCUUGCUGACGGUGGUUAUCAAAAAUGCAGUGGAAAUGAUUUUAACAUUGGGUUGGCGCAACCUACGAUAUCUUUAGUAAUUAAAGAGGUUCUAAAUAUAAUUGAACAACUUAUUUGUGCCCAAUGGAUUAAAAUUCAAAUGACUGAGGAGGAGGAGGUUAGUUGCAUCGGCGGGACUCAUGUUCGCAUAAUUUCGCCAAGAAAAGAAGUGCAACAUCUUUAUCUUAACAGAAAGGGAUACUACAGUUUAAACGUGAUGAUUCUUUGUGAUUAUAAAAUGUCUAUUCGGUAUGUGGAUGCUAGGCAUGGCAAAUUAUGACUCUUUUGUUUUUAAUGUUAGCGAUUUGAAAGUGCAUUUACAGAACAACAUACAGAAUAACACUUGGAUCUUGGGCGACGCUGGCUAUCCUCUGCACAAAUUUUUAAUGACGCCUUAUCGCUUGGCGGAAGCUUCUUCACCCCAAGCACGCUACAACUCAAAGGCCUGGAAUAUUGUAGAGCGGACAAUUGGUGUACUCAAGAGUAGAUUUCGAUGGCUUUUAUCUGUACGAGGUGUACAUUACACUCCCGAAAAGGCUACGCAAAUUGUGAAUGCUUGUUGCGUAUUGCACAAUAUUUGCCAACACUUUCAAGUGGAAUCUCCGGAAGAAAUAUCAUCUACUUCACAUACUACAAUGACCAAUGAUAUUUUGGACAUAGAAAGAGAAGAAGAGGAUAUGGCUCGAAUAAUUCGCAAUAAUAUUAUGACUUCCCUCUAAAUAAUUAAAAUAUUAAAUUUCAUUUAUUCUUUCUAAUGUGCUAUUUAUUCAGGCAUAUAUUUAAAUUUUAUUUAAAUAAAUUCAUUAAAUAACAA